This 433-nucleotide unclassified non-coding RNA is filed under the name soil metagenome. Its description in RNAcentral is "partial contains 5.8S ribosomal RNA, internal transcribed spacer 2, and large subunit ribosomal RNA". The stretch from base 1 to 120 matches the Rfam family "5.8S ribosomal RNA", at positions 35 to 154 of the family's 154-position model. The record is from RNAcentral.
GAUGAAGAACGCAGCGAAAUGCGAUACGUAAUGUGAAUUGCAGAAUUCAGUGAAUCAUCGAAUCUUUGAACGCAUAUUGCGCUCUCUGGUAUUCCGGAGAGCAUGCUUGUUUGAGUAUCAGUAAACACCUCAACUUCCAUAUCUUUUUUGAAAUGGGAGUUGGACUUGAGUGAUCCCAACGCUUUUCCUCACCGAAAAGUGGCGGGUUACUUGAAAUGCAGGUGCAGCUGGACUUUUCUCUGAGCUAGAAGCAUAUCUAUUUAGUCUGCCUAAAAAACAGAUUAUUACCUUUGCUGCAGCUAACAUAAAGGAGAUUAGUUCUUGUGCUGACUGAUGCAGGAUUCACAAAGACAGGCUUCGGCCGACUUUGUAAACUCGAUCUCAAAUCAAGUAAGACUACCCGCUGAACUUAAGCAUAUCAAUAAGCGGAGGA